ACUUUAUCCUGAUCUAUGAAAAGGAAGUGAAAACCCCGACACUUUUAUUUUGUUUUGCUUCAAAUAAGAAUCUUUAGGUCUUGGGUUGGGUUUUCUUAGCAUGUAAUUUCAAUUCACUUAAAGCCACCAUCCUACGGGGUUUCCCUUUUGUAUCAACACAAAAUCGUUGGUCAAUCUCUCAAGCCAAAACAAAAGGAACUCAAACAAUGACCGGAAAAAGUAACUACAUUCGGCAUAGAUGAAGAUGCAAUACCCAGCAAAUAGAUUUUCUUAGGAAGGAAGAAUAUGUUCAUGCUGGAUGUGUUAUCCAGCAUCUAUAGGGAUGUGAAAGGCAGCAACAUGUUUCCCGUCAUAGACACAGAAGUAUCAGAUUUUGGUUUCUCAAAACUUGAAUUUGAUGGAGCUUCUGAUGCCGCAAUUAGUAUAAUUUACGAAUUUUUGGGUAUCUAGACAACGAUUCGAACAUGGCAUAGGAUCCCUUGAUUUAGUGGAUCUGGAUGAGCCUUACCUUCUGCUGGAUGAGUCCCCUGUACAUAACUCAAUGAUGUUCAAUGUCCAGGUACAGUUAGGUAAUACCUUGGGUAAUUUCAUUUCCCGCCUAGCUUCAAUCUUCUCUGUUACCUAUUCAUCACUCAUAAAAACCAACGCUAGCUUAAAAUAUGAGUUUUCUCUUUUCUUAUUACUGUUGCAAAUUGGUUGUGUAUAUAAUCACAAGAAUUUUUUCCUGGGUGAUGAGGAUGAUGAGGAUCAAAUGGUUGCAAUAAUAUGGUUGCCUCAUGAUGGGAUGAUGGGUAGGCAGAGUUUGCUGCUAUAGAUGAUAAGGAUAAAAGGCUUUACUUUGUAAUGUUAAUUUAUACUUGCUUGGGUUAAGUUACUUAAAGAGCUACCAUGUUAGAGGUAGUAGUGAAGAAAAGUAGGAUGGAGAUAGAGAUGUCCGAUACUGUAUUUUGGACUCUCAUAACCGGUUUGUCUUUGUCCUGCUAAAAAAAAAAAUUAAUGGUAAAUGUUUGAUUUGGAAAUAUACUAGCCCUUAACCCGUGCCGUAAUGGCACG
Papaver somniferum (opium poppy) is the source of this 1053-nucleotide long non-coding RNA. RefSeq lists it as uncharacterized. The transcript is spliced from 5 exons. Lineage: Eukaryota; Viridiplantae; Streptophyta; Magnoliopsida; Ranunculales; Papaveraceae. The record is from RefSeq and is a predicted model, not a curated record.